This 770-nucleotide ribosomal RNA is filed under the name Thalassospira xiamenensis. RNAcentral's name for it is "bacterial SSU rRNA". It matches the Rfam family "Bacterial small subunit ribosomal RNA", at positions 396 to 1178 of the family's 1533-position model. The record is from RNAcentral. Lineage: Bacteria; Pseudomonadati; Pseudomonadota; Alphaproteobacteria; Rhodospirillales; Thalassospiraceae.
GCCGCGUGAGGGAUGACGGCCUUCGGGUUGUAAACCUCUUUCAGCAGGGAAGAAGCGAAAGUGACGGUACCUGCAGAAGAAGCACCGGCUAACUACGUGCCAGCAGCCGCGGUAAUACGUAGGGUGCGAGCGUUGUCCGGAAUUAUUGGGCGUAAAGAGCUUGUAGGCGGUUUGUCGCGUCUGCUGUGAAAAUCCGGGGCUCAACCCCGGACUUGCAGUGGGUACGGGCAGACUAGAGUGUGGUAGGGGAGACUGGAAUUCCUGGUGUAGCGGUGAAAUGCGCAGAUAUCAGGAGGAACACCGAUGGCGAAGGCAGGUCUCUGGGCCACUACUGACGCUGAGAAGCGAAAGCAUGGGGAGCGAACAGGAUUAGAUACCCUGGUAGUCCAUGCCGUAAACGUUGGGCGCUAGGUGUGGGACUCAUUCCACGAGUUCCGUGCCGCAGCUAACGCAUUAAGCGCCCCGCCUGGGGAGUACGGCCGCAAGGCUAAAACUCAAAGGAAUUGACGGGGGCCCGCACAAGCGGCGGAGCAUGCGGAUUAAUUCGAUGCAACGCGAAGAACCUUACCAAGGCUUGACAUAUACCGGAAACUUCCAGAGAUGGUUGCCCCCUUUGGGUCGGUAUACAGGUGGUGCAUGGUUGUCGUCAGCUCGUGUCGUGAGAUGUUGGGUUAAGUCCCGCAACGAGCGCAACCCUCGUUCUAUGUUGCCAGCACGUCAUGGUGGGGACUCAUGGAAGACUGCCGGGGUCAACUCGGAGGAAGGUGGGG